This 433-nucleotide ribosomal RNA is filed under the name uncultured bacterium. RNAcentral describes it as "partial 16S ribosomal RNA". It matches the Rfam family "Bacterial small subunit ribosomal RNA", at positions 29 to 507 of the family's 1533-position model. The record is from RNAcentral.
AACGAACGCUGGCGGCAUGCCUAACACAUGCAAGUCGAACGAGACCUUCCGGUCUUUGGGCGCUCGUGUGCGUACCGCGUGGGAACCUGCCCUUAGGUUCCGAAUAACUCCCUGUAAGGGGUGCUAAUACCGGUUAAUCUCAUCGGACCUAAGAUUUAUCGCCUUUGGAUGGGCGCGCGUUGGAUUAGCGAGUUGGUAGUGUAAAAGCCUACCAACGCGACGAUCCAUAGCUGGUCUGAGAGGAUGAUCAGCCACACUGGCACUGAGACACGGCCCAGACUCCUACGGGGAGGAGCAGUGGGGAAUAUUAGACAAGGGGCGAAAGCCUGGUCCAGCAAUGCCGCGUGAGUGAUGAAGGCCGUAGGGUUGUAAAGCUCUUUUACCCGGGAUGAUAAUGACAGUACCGGGAGAAUAAGCUCCGGCUAACUCCGUG